CACAGGCAGGAGAGGGGUAUUCCAA
Molecule: non-coding RNA, 25 nt
Filed under: Mus musculus (house mouse)
Lineage: Eukaryota; Metazoa; Chordata; Mammalia; Rodentia; Muridae
Source: RNAcentral